This 295-nucleotide ribosomal RNA is filed under the name Klebsiella aerogenes. RNAcentral describes it as "partial 16S ribosomal RNA". It matches the Rfam family "Bacterial small subunit ribosomal RNA", at positions 1248 to 1533 of the family's 1533-position model. The record is from RNAcentral. Lineage: Bacteria; Pseudomonadati; Pseudomonadota; Gammaproteobacteria; Enterobacterales; Enterobacteriaceae.
AGCGAACUCGCGAGAGCAAGCGGACCUCAUAAAGUGCGUCGUAGUCCGGAUUGGAGUCUGCAACUCGACUCCAUGAAGUCGGAAUCGCUAGUAAUCGUGGAUCAGAAUGCCACGGUGAAUACGUUCCCGGGCCUUGUACACACCGCCCGUCACACCAUGGGAGUGGGUUGCAAAAGAAGUAGGUAGCUUAACCUUCGGGAGGGCGCUUACCACUUUGUGAUUCAUGACUGGGGUGAAGUCGUAACAAGGUAACCGUAGGGGAACCUGCGGUUGGAUCACCUCCUUACCUUAAAGA